Molecule: ribosomal RNA, 495 nt
Filed under: uncultured bacterium
Lineage: Bacteria
Description: partial 16S ribosomal RNA
Rfam family: Bacterial small subunit ribosomal RNA
Source: RNAcentral
GACGAACGCUGGCGGCGUGCCUAAUACAUGCAAGUAGAACGCUGAAGGAGGAGCUUGCUUCUCCGGAUGAGUUGCGAACGGGUGAGUAACGCGUAGGUAACCUGCCUGGUAGCGGGGGAUAACUAUUGGAAACGAUAGCUAAUACCGCAUAACAGUAGAUAUUGCAUGAUAUCUGCUUGAAAGGUGCAAUUGCAUCACUACCAGAUGGACCUGCGUUGUAUUAGCUAGUUGGUGAGGUAACGGCUCACCAAGGCGACGAUACAUAGCCGACCUGAGAGGGGGAUCGGCCACACUGGGACUGAGACACGGCCCAGACUCCUACGGGAGGCAGCAGUAGGGAAUCUUCGGCAAUGGACGGAAGUCUGACCGAGCAACGCCGCGUGAGUGAAGAAGGGUUUCGGAUCGUAAAGCUCUGUUGUAAGAGAAGAACGAGUGUGAGAGUGGAAAGUUCACACUGUGACGGUAUCUUACCAGAAAGGGACGGCUAACUACGUG